ACGCUCUUGAUUACUUACCCAUCAGACCUAAACACUGGUCUGAAUGGCUAUAAAAAGAGGAAAAGUAAAAGUUAAAUAGACUUAAAUUCUUUCGUGACACAAGCUCUUUCUUUUAAAAAAGG
Molecule: small nucleolar RNA, 122 nt
Filed under: Echinops telfairi (small Madagascar hedgehog)
Lineage: Eukaryota; Metazoa; Chordata; Mammalia; Afrosoricida; Tenrecidae
Description: Small nucleolar RNA SNORA61 (ENSETEG00000024378.1)
Source: RNAcentral